CGAGCAUAUCAUAGCGGAGGAAAGAACCAACAGGGAUUGCCCCAGUAACGGCGAGUGAAGCGGCAACAGCUCAAAUUUGAAAUCUGGCUUCGGCCCGAGUUGUAAUUUGUAGAGGAUGCUUUUGGUGAGGUGCCUUCUGAGUUCCCUGGAACGGGACGCCAGAGAGGGUGAGAGCCCCGUAUAGUCGGCCACCGAUCCUUUGUAAAGCUCCUUCGACGAGUCGAGUAGUUUGGGAAUGCUGCUCAAAAUGGGAGGUAUAUCUCUUCUAAAGCUAAAUAUUGGCCAGAGACCGAUAGCGCACAAGUAGAGUGAUCGAAAGAUGAAAAGCACUUUGAAAAGAGGGUUAAAUAGCACGUGAAAUUGUUGAAAGGGAAGCGCUUGUGACCAGACUUGUGCCGGGCUGAUCAUCCAGUGUUCUCACUGGUGCACUCGACCCGGCUCAGGCCAGCGUCGGUUCUCGCGGGGGGAUAAAAGCUUCGGGAACGUGGCACCUCCGGGUGUGUUAUAGCCCGUUGCUUAAUACCUUCGCGGGGACCGAGGUUCGCGCUCUGCAAGGACGCUGGCAUAAUGGUCAUCAGCGACCCGUCUUGAAACACGGACCAAGGAGUCGAGGUUUUGCGCGAGUGUUUGGGUGUAAAACCCGCACGCGUAAUGAAAGUGAACGUAGGUGAGAGCUUCGGCGCAUCAUCGACCGAUCCUGAUGUAUUCGGAUGGAUUUGAGUAAGAGCGUAUAGCCUCGGACCCGAAAGAUGGUGAACUAUGCCUGAAUAGGGUGAAGCCAGAGGAAACUCUGGUGGAGGCUCGCAGCGGUUCUGACGUGCAAAUCGAUCGUCAAAUUUGGGCAUGGGGGCGAAAGACUAAUCGAACCAUCUAGUAGCUGGUUACCGCCGAU
RNAcentral lists this ribosomal RNA (892 nucleotides) under Coniochaeta luteoviridis. RNAcentral describes it as "LSU rRNA". It matches the Rfam family "Eukaryotic large subunit ribosomal RNA", at positions 35 to 965 of the family's 3401-position model. The record is from RNAcentral. Lineage: Eukaryota; Fungi; Ascomycota; Sordariomycetes; Coniochaetales; Coniochaetaceae.